RNAcentral lists this long non-coding RNA (1377 nucleotides) under Homo sapiens (human). RNAcentral describes it as "non-protein coding lnc-TNIP2-1:1". The record is from RNAcentral. Lineage: Eukaryota; Metazoa; Chordata; Mammalia; Primates; Hominidae.
GGCAAAACUAUUUCCUGAUGGUGGUUGCAGAUCGUUCACUUCCUAACAGUGUGUUAGGUUGUGCAUUUAUGUUUUAUUCACUUUUCUGUAUGUUGUUUUAUUCUGCAGGAAAUGAAUGAAAAAGGGAUUCUGCCUCAGCUCUGAGCCCCUCAGAGUGGGGCCAGGGAAGAAGCAGACGGCAACGCCAGGGCAGCUGUCUGGCAGCCUGGAAGGCCUGCGAAGCUUCCUAGGGGUCCGAAGGAGGGUAGACAGGCACGGGGCUCACCACAAUCCUUCGGAUGGAACCACAGGAAGAGAAGAAGCAUGUUUCACCCUGGGCUGGGGGUGCUUCCCAAAGCCACUGGGGCCCUUUUCCCAAGCCCCAGAACUGAGCCCACCUGAACUCAUCUUGAAGGUAGGUAUGUCAGUGAGUCCUCCCAAAGCCUCAGUUUCCCUAUCUAUAAAAUGAGGAAGCAGGACUGCCCCUAGGGCAAGGCCUAGGCCUCCUGCCAGCCCACCCUCACAGACCCAGAGGGCAACGCAGGGUGAGGCGGGGCAGUUUCACUCCCCAGUGCUGUGGCCCCCUUGGUUGAGUGAAAGCACCUCCAGAGCCCUAACCCUAGCCCUGGGAGCCAGGCAAGAGACCCCCACAACGACCAUCAGAGGUCGUGAGGGGUGGCAGGGAGCCUGGCAGGGAGCCAGGCAGGGGCCAGGGUCUAGGCUCAGAGCAGUGAAGGAUAGAUAGGGUCACAUGCCAGUUAGUGGCAGAGGUGGGACUUGAACCCAGGCCUCUGUGAGACUUGGUUCUCUCACCUGUAAAAUGGGUCUACUAGCAGCUGCUUCUCCAAGCAAAUGAUGUCAAGCACCCAGCUCGGCACCUCACAGAUGUGGUCAGUAAAUGGUAAUCCCAACCCUACCCUUAUAUGUGGACUAGAACACUUAUGGCAAGUCUCGGGAGGUCAUGGGAACUCCUCAUGGCUCCUUCUUCAUGCUGGAGGACCACGGCCUGCCCCAUCCCACCCCAACACACUCUUGAAACUGAGGCCCUCGGCCUAGAGCAGCUCACACAGACGUGGACAGCUGUGCUAGCAGGUGCAGAGUCUGGGAGGCGAGGCUGGACCAGGGCCCCAGCUGGGCUUCGGGUAACCACAGGCCUCAACUGUCCAGUUGGCCAGAGGGACCUAUCACCUGGCUCUGGGCCCCAGGAUGCUUUAGCCACUUGAGCCGGCUCCAGGUGACCGUGUAAGUGACAUAAAGCAAAGGUGUCCUGGACUGCACCACUCACUAGCUCAGCACCCCAGGCACCAGGCUGGAAACCACAUCUCGCACCCAAUUCUCCAUUUAAAAAUUUUACAGGAAGGGGCCAGGCACAGUGGCUCAUGCCUGUAAUCCCAGCAC